Molecule: ribosomal RNA, 998 nt
Filed under: human gut metagenome
Description: bacterial LSU rRNA
Rfam family: Bacterial large subunit ribosomal RNA
Source: RNAcentral
AACGGCGGCCGUAACUAUAACGGUCCUAAGGUAGCGAAAUUCCUUGUCAGGUAAGUUCUGACCCGCACGAAAGGUGUAACGAUUUGGGCGCUGUCUCGGCAGCAGACUCGGUGAAAUCUUAGUACCUGUGAAAAUGCAGGUUACCCGCAACUAGACGGAAAGACCCCAUGGAGCUUUACUGCAGCCUGAUAUUGAAUUCUGGUCAUACAUGUACAGGAUAGGUGGGAGACAAAGAGACGUGCACGCCAGUGUACGAGGAGUCGCCGUUGGGAUACCACUCUUGUGUGACCGGGGUUCUAACCUGGUAUCGAAAACAGGUACGGGGAGAGUGUCAGGUGGGCAGUUUGACUGGGGCGGUCGCCUCCCAAAGAGUAACGGAGGCGCCCAAAGGUACGCUCAGAUUGGAUGGAAACCAAUCGGCGAGUGCAAUUGCAGAAGCGUGCUUGACUGUGAGACUUACAAGUCGAACAGGGACGAAAGUCGGGAAUAGUGAUCCGGCGGUGCCGAAUGGAAGGGCCGUCGCUCAACGGAUAAAAGCUACCCUGGGGAUAACAGGCUGAUCUCGCCCAAGAGUUCACAUCGACGGCGAGGUUUGGCACCUCGAUGUCGGCUCAUCGCAUCCUGGAGCUGGAUUCGGUUCCAAGGGUUGGGCUGUCCGCCCAUUAAAGCGGUACGCGAGCUGGGUUCAGAACGUCGUGAGACAGUUCGGUCCCUAUCUGUUGUGGGCGAAGGAGAUCUGCGGAGAGCUGUCCUCAGUACGAGAGGACCGGGAUGGACCUACCGCUGGUGCACCGGUUGUUCCGCCAGGGGCAUAGCCGGGUAGCUAAGUAGGGAAAGGAUAAGCGCUGAAAGCAUCUAAGCACGAAGCCUACUCCAAGAUGAGAUCUCCCAUUCGCAAGAAGUAAGACCCCUUAAAGACGAUAAGGUAGAUAGGCCAGGGAUGGAAGUGCAGUGAUGUACGGAGUUGACUGGUACUAAUCGGUCGAGGACUUAAUCAG